CGGUAAGUGGAGGGAAGAUGCAGUGGUAAGACGAGGGUUGGAGGAGUUGUGCGGAAUGAUUGGGCGUAAAGGGGAGGUAGGUGGUCUCAUUUGUCGGAGGUGAAAUCAUUGGGCUUAACGCAAGAAGUGCGUCAGAAACGGUGAGACUGGAGUCGUGGAGAGGGUCGUGGAAUUCCCGGUGUAGCGGUGAAAUGCGUAGAGAUCGGGAGGAACACCAGAGGCGAAGGCGGCGACCUGGACAAGUACUGACACUCAACUACGAAAGCGUGGGGAGCAAACAGGAUUAGAUACCCCAGUAGUC
RNAcentral lists this ribosomal RNA (301 nucleotides) under uncultured Sulfurovum sp. RNAcentral describes it as "bacterial SSU rRNA". The stretch from base 53 to 301 matches the Rfam family "Bacterial small subunit ribosomal RNA", at positions 547 to 795 of the family's 1533-position model. Lineage: Bacteria; Pseudomonadati; Campylobacterota; Epsilonproteobacteria; Campylobacterales; Sulfurovaceae. The record is from RNAcentral.